CUGCCCUGCUGUGUGUGCACAGCUCCACGCUCUGCCUCACCAGUGCUCCUUGUCAUCAUGGACUACGAAGCCCUGUGCUCCAUGGCUGUCCCCGCUCCUGUGCCUCGUGUCCCUGCUGAAGUGUACCUCUUUCUCCUUCCUUCUCAGGUUGCGAGGUUGCUCAUCUCACACGGGGAGCACCACAGGGAGGAAGAGGGCUCAGCAUGUGACCGGACUUCGCAGCCAACUCUGCACCACAAGGGACACGGCCUUGGGUUUCGUGGUGAAGAUGAGAGGUCAAACCAGGCUUCCUGAGACUUGCAGGAAGAGAGGUGCAAAUGACUGUUCAGGGGCAGACUGAGGGGACCUGCUAAUGCUAAGUCAGGCGCCUUGGCAAGACUCAGUUAACUUCUGAAGAGGAAGAAAAGGACAAAGAGCCUACGCUUGCCCUUAGCAGAGCCUGGCACAGCACUGGGGGGAAUUUUUCUCCCUGUGAGCAGCACACCUCUGCUGCCAUUGCAUGGCGGACGUUCCUGGAGCAGGAUUUAAAAGCAGUCUCUGCUACAGCUCCUUGCCCAGAGACGUGCUAGACUCUUGCUGAUUUCUUCUGCCAUAUGGGACGUGCCUGGUACCGCUUCCUCCUGGCUGCUGGUUUCUCAGUGGAACAGACAGCAAACAGCAAGCAAGAGGAGCAGAACCCAGGACGAGGAGUUUCUGUAGGACCUACCAGAAGCUGGCUGGCAGUUUAGGCUGGCAGUCCUCUCUCUGAAGGCCUCUCCUUGCAUUUAUUGUAAAGGAAAGUGAAUGCACGAGCGUACUGGUGUGAGGAGAAGCAGAGCAGCAGCGCGUGGGCACAGCUGUGAUCUCGGAUAGGCAGCGCUUGUGCGAGUGCAGGUGCCCUGUUUGAUGGAAGCAGCUGCACACGUGUGACUGAACUACCCCUGCUGCUGUCAGGCCAAAGAGAACCUCGGUGAGCAUGGACAAGAGCAGCUCCCAGAGUGGUGGAGGACCCCAGGUGGGAUCUCCCUCUUCACCUGUGCCUGUCCCUGUGCGUGAGCCCUUGGGUCUUCCAGCAGCAUCAGGGGACACCACUAGAAACUGCACCAGCCCCUUGAGCUUCCUACAAGCAAACAACUGGGAGAAGGAGCGGCACCAUUCUGGCUGAAGCACAUGGGCUUGAGAAGUUUGGGUACCUGCAGAUCUGCACCUAGCUCCUGAUGCAAGUGGGGAUUGAGCCAUGGGACAGCGAGGCCCCUCCAGGUACAGGGCAUUUUGCUCCUCAUCCAGCGGUGUGGCUGGAGCCACGACACAGGGAGGUGCUCCAGGGCGGGCAGGUGCUUCUGUAGGACCACCAAAGAGUUGUGAGUCCCUCACCAAAGUCAGCGUGGUUGUUCCUCGCAGACCUGCAUUUUCCUUUGUGGCUCCUGGCUGUAGAUGUUUGCUGGUGGUCAUGGCUUGAUGUGCUGCUGAAAGCUGGCUGCCUCGCACUAGCAUGCUUACACUCGCCCGUAACCAGUUUGGGUUUCCUGACAGCGUUUUGCCUCUCCGCCAAAGAGUAUUUAAAACUCAUGAGGGCCUCUGGUCGAAGGCUUCUGGAAACUUUGCAUGAUUUCUGGCAAGCGUUUUGCCUUCUGCUGUUGCUGUCACGAUGACAGAGCUCCUGUGGACAACAGAGGCGUGCUUGUCCUUCUGACACAGGGUGGUCCUCAGUAAUGGGAGCAAGGUUUGUGGCUCCGUGGUGUGCCGGAGCUGAGAUUGCCCAUGUGUGCCCCAGGUAGUUUAACCUGGGAGCUGGGGAAGGGCUCGCUGUUCUGUAGUUCCCAAAUCCUCGCAGGAUGUUUUAAAAGGGAGCUGCAGCACUUGCUGCUCAGCGAUCAACGCUGGGGGGAAAAGCAGCCAUGAUUCCCUGCGAGCUUCUCCAGCACGGCGAGUUACCUCCUGCUCUUCUUAACUCCUCCAUGGGACACCAGCACUGGUUUUGGUCUCCCAGAGGUUCAUCUCUAGUCCUUUCAGCAGAUAUCUACCUAACACCCUCUCUACUGAAAUGGGAUGCGACGCAACCACCUGCUCUGGCACGGACCUAGUGCUGGUGCCCAUCCAGCCUGUGUGCACCGAAACCAUCAAGAGCUGGGCUCAGAUAUCUCUGCGAGGAGCUGCACACCCACGGCAAAGCCACACAGGCCACAAACAGCAAAGCUGCGAGGCCGGGUGGUUAACGUCAGUGCUGACACCGUGCUCGUGGUUGCUCCAGGCUGUGUGCCCAGCAGUGCCCACCACCAGCAGCUCUACCUGAGAGCUCAUCCGAGCAUCCCCAGUGCUCACCCGAGCUGUGACCUUCUGUGCCAUCUGCCACCGACAGUGUGAAGAAAAGCCCUUGGAGUAUUUGAAGGCGUGUUUGCAUCGUACAUCCCCUUCCCUCUUCCGUUCUUUUUCCCAGACCUCCAGCCAGCCUCGUCUCUCUCCUCCAGGCUUGCUCCAGUUGUGCUUCACCUCAUUUGAGGAGCAGUGCCUUUUUUUUUAACUAGUUCAAACUGCCUUUUCCUGUGGCCCAGUGGGACCUGCGCUGCUCCCAUCCUGCUCACUGCGUCCUGGUCAGCCCUUGUGCUCUGCAGCUGUUGGAUGGCCAAGGGAAGAAACUUUACGUCUCUCUUGGAGAGCAUCCUGGCUUUUGGUGAUGACGUCUUCACUCUGCUCCCUGUCCUGCCUUACUCUAGGAACACGUGUGCUGAUCUAUGUGUAUGUGGCAUCACGCCCAUAUUGUCCUCUGCGAUGCACUAAGGAGCCCGGUAGCAGUACCAAGGGCCUAAAAAAUUGUAGUAGGACUGAAGGUUUCAGAUAAGCUUUAUGUAGCUCCUCCACACUAGGACCUUCCUCUUUCAGUGUCUCUUAGGGUUUUUUCAUCUUCAGUUGCCUAACAAUGAUGGCAAGAGCUGGAUUUCUUUCUUUCCUGCUGCAGCUCCAGCAAAGCAAAUCUAACUAAACUAAAAACACUUGUUUGGGCUAAACUGCAAAUGUUUUCUUAGAACAUCUUUGGUGUGAAUUUGCAAACAAGAUUUCCCAGGUCCAGCUGUGUUCUGGUUCAGCUGGUAUAUUUGAUCUAUGGAAAAAAUAUUAAAGCAUUUACUUACUGUAGGCAAACAAAACUCUCUUUAGAGGACCUGAAAUGCAAUCUGUCAUUUUCAUUUCAAAUCAUUUGAUAUGUCUCUAUAAUUUUAACCAUAAAAUGGAAAGUGUAACUGGCUAGUCACUGUUCCUUUUUAAAGCAUUCAAAUGAAACAUUGCAUUUUUUUAUUUUCCUUCUAACUUUUCCCGUUUGUUGGCUCAUUUGGAAGUCGGCAAUUCCCUGAGAUGAAGUUGCACAAAGUUGGCUGUUGCUGAAUUUGCAUUUUUCCCAGAAGAGAGGCAGAGAUAGAGGGGAAAACGUCACUGUGCUGCAUUGCCAGGUACUGCGUCCCCCGUGGGCCUGCCCGUCCUCACCUCCUCCACCCACCGGUGGCCUCGGUGGCGAUCCCCCCCCAUCCCCGCUCGGACGCAGGAUUGCAGCUCCGGCUCCUCUUCCCUGCGCAUCAUCAACAUGUUGUUUCCAGGGUCAUAAAUUUGCACGGUGAUGAGACACAACCAGAUGUUAGGAUACGUGAAGCGACUGGCGAAGCAGCCUGCUUGGCGCAGCCCCCGCCGCUGGAGUCCGCCGCCCGCUAAUGAGAAGCAGGUCUCGCGCCUCGAGCUGGGCCAGGACAGACGGAGAGCAUCCCCAGGAGCUGCCACCUCGACCCCCGGCCUGCUCUCGGUGCCCGGGGAGCACCUCGGGGCUCUUUGGUGGCUCUUGGCUUCUGGCAGCCAUCUGGAAAGCUGCUUUGGCCUGGCGCAGGGAGGGACGCGCGAGGCCGUGGUCCUCCUUGCUAGCAAGGAAGCCGGUUACGAUGCUGUGUGGUGCUCUGUCGUGUAAAAAUGCUUCUGAGACACGGGUUUUGGAUGGUCCGUGUGGCUGAACAGGUUGGGUUUUAAUGGAGAGACCCAUGGGGAGGUCAUAGCUCAGGAUGCUGGUCCUGUAUCCGCUACUGGGAACCUGUGUUGGCAUGAAAUACUCGUUUCCACAUGGCUCCAGCCCCCGUGUCCUGAGGUACCCAUGUCCCCAUGGGUGGGCAGGGGCUGGGGAGGGUGGCACUGCAAGGGAAUGUGCGGUGGUCCUCAGGACAGCCGCAGCUUUUGGCCAGCAUGUAGCAGAUGCUACCCCUGUGAUCCAGGCCCUCAUGGUGUUUUGGGGUAUGCACUAAACAUCUGGGGACGCACACCCUGAUGACAGUCCCUGGGCACAGCCAUCCUGUGAGUGCUUUCUCAUCAUGGUCUCUUUCUUCCACCACUGUCUUGGAAGUCCCUGGGGGUCCCUGCUGCCCCAGGGGCGAGGCUGAGCCCUGUGUGGGGCUGGCAUGGCUCGGUUGUGGCAUCAGGGCAGGCCUUGCAUCACGGGCUGAUUUUAAGUCGAUUAAGGUAAUCCCAUGUGGAGAUCUGGCCUCAGUGCCACUUCUCUGUCCCAUUGUCCUUCCCUGGACCACGCAGGCGGUGGUGGUACCUCCUCCUACACCUCCAUGCACGCUCCCAUCGUCUGGGGACGGGCAAGUGCAUAGGUGUGUGCAUGUGGGAGAGGAGACCCAUCUGAAGGGGUGUGCUGGUACCAGACCUAAGGGCUAUGUGCUGGCCAGGGUGUCCUGGGGAGCACUCCUUGCUCGGAGGCCCAGGAGCAGCCUCCAACAUGGCAAAGAAGGAGACAGAGCUUGGGGUGUCCUUGGAGGGGACAAAACAGUGCAGGGCCCAUGGCCAUGAGCAUCCCUUCGAGCUGUGGUUCAAUCCCGUUGGGAUUUGGGGGACACGUCCCCCCCCAGUGACACAAGAGGGAGGGCGAACACUUGUGGCUCUGCUCUCAGCAUCCCAUUCGCCCGGUGCUGAGCCCCCGAAGGGCUUCACCGCCCUCCAGGAGAGCCUCCAUCCUCCUCCUUGCUGCAAAGCCAGGAGAAACGAGGCCGUCACCUCGCCGCCCCGAGCGUGUAAAGGGAAGGAGGGGACGGGGCCUUACAGGGGGUGAGGGGACCUCGGCCUCCCCGCCGAGCCUCCGCUCCUUUGUGCGGCGCAGGUUGGAGGGAGUUUGGGUUAAAAGGGGUUAACAGCUCUCUGCUGUAACACAUGAUUGGUCUUUAUGAGGUUGAAACUCUUGUCUGUUUGAGGCCUACAGAUGAUGCUAAAGAGCACAAUAAUGACAGCAAUUCAAAGCAAUCUAAUUAUGCAAACGGGAGGCUAAACAAUUUCAUCAUCCUUAAAUUAGAUUGUCCUAAUGAGAUAAAGACACCAAUUAAUCCUGAAUUAAUUUCAAUAGCCUAUUUCAGGCAAACACUUUAAUAUGCAAAUGUAAAUGAGAAACAAAGCCUACUGUAGAAUGCCAGAGUUCAGAACCUCUCUCUGCACAGCUGCAGCGGGUGUAAAUAGUGUCUAAUGAGUUUGCAUGGAAAGACACAACCGGUUGAAAAUUGGAGCCUCCGUACAGCACAGCCGGUGCCUCAGGUACGUGGCGGUGCCGAGGCGGCAGGGGGACGGCCGGGCUGGCACCGGGGAGCCGCCGCGCACGGGGCACGGGACGGGAGCCGCCGCGGGACACGGGGCUUUAAUGAGAUGCUGGAGCCGAGUACCUGGCCGGUCGCCUUUCUAGGACACGGAGAUGGUUUUAAUUAGCUGGUGGAUAAUUGGUUUAAAUUAGCCGCUUUGCUCCGCGCUCGCAAAGGUCCGCUCCCAGUUUUUCUCCCAGGCACUUGGCAGGGGAAAGGGCGAAGCCUGGGAUGUAGGCUACGGGGAAGGCGGAUGCCCUCCCUAGUGUCUCCCACCUUGCUCCCUGUCCGUAGCAAAGCACCACCAACGUCUCCUUUGAGUCCUCCUGGAAGCAAGCACCUGCCCCGAGGGCCUGAUCCUGAACUCAAACUUGUGCUUCCCUGUGAGUAGGAGCACAUGCUGUGGGUGCUGUGCAGAGGGCCACAAAGGCAGCUGUGGCACUGAUGGUCACGUUGGGUUAUUCCUCUGGCUGUGUCCCUUCUCCAGCAGGUCCCAGGAACAUGCCUUGGAGGAAGUGUUAAAAUAGCCCAAAAAAACUAUUCUGUCCUAGAAUGAGCACCUUUUGGGUAAUCUAUGCCUUUCCCCUUCCAGGGCUGCUGUUGGAGGCUAGCAUGAACAGAAAGGCUUUGUGUCCUUCCAGAAAAUACAUGACAACCCUGGACAUUCUUCCCCUUAAAAAUAUCCAUUCUCUGUUUGGAUUGUGCCAGGGUUUAUCUCCAGCAUCACCCCGUGGCAGCACGUGCUGCAGGCUCAGGAGGUGCGGUCCCUCUUGCCCUCCCACCAGCACCAUUCGUUGACCUCCACCGAGUGAACAUCUCACAUCUUCCCUGUGUGCUGGAGGGAAUUUGCUCUUUGUUUUGGCACCGUGUGGUCAUCUCACCGGGACCUUUCAUGGAGCAGGAAGGUUUGUGAAUUUCCAGCCCAGAGCGAGGUCCUGCCUUGCUCACAUCCCCUCCUGCACGGACUUUAGGACCAAAUAAUGUCCCUGCGGUUUAUUGUCCCUUCCUGCUUAGCUUUGGAGGGCUUUGUGAGUGGUGAUUGGGAAUUUCGGCACUUCUAGUGGGAAAUCUUGGGUAAGCAUCGCCUGUGCAGCGCGGGAUUUCAUCUGUGCUGGGUAGACAGCAAACAUCCCUUCCCAUUUCUGCGGCCUGAAUGGGCACGGGGUUUAUUGACGGAUGAGUGGAGGCAGCGAAAGGGCUGACGGCCCGGAGCUUGCGGCGUGCCAGCAGACCUGGAGAUCUAUCACACAUGUUUGUCCUUGGAAAAAAGACAAUUGACUCAGUAAAUUGCUUCAUCUCUGGCACUCGGGGUACCAGCACCGCCUUUUCCUCUGGAGCCUGGGAGAUUUUUUCCAAAGCCUUUGGUGCUGCCUGGGCUCUGUUCUCCGUGCCGUCGGCAGUGCGAGCUCUGGCUCAGCGGGCGCUGCCGCGCCACGGACAGAGACGUGGGUGAGAGCUCGCUGCUCCCAAACCAGAGCAGGGCCAUCCUACUGAUGUCUAACCGGUGCUUCGGGGCAGAGGCGUGCCCAGGAGCUCGUGGAGAUGAUGCUUAGAGAGCCAGGGGUUACCGUGCCCCGGCGUGGGGAUGGGCCGGGGGACCCAGGGGGGUGCUGUUAGCAGCCGCAAGCUGCAUCCAAAAGAGGAUGACAGAUCGCUGCCUCCGGCUGUGGUUUCCCGUUAAUUAAUACCAGGUCUGCGCAUUACCCGCUCACCCCACGGGAUGAGUUGGGUCUGAAGCGGGGGCGAGCAGCACCGGAUCGCGCCGUUGCCAAAUCACCCGGCUCGUGCAAUAUGGUGCGCAUCUGGCCGCCCGCCAGCGGCGGGAGCACAAAGCAAUGCCUGAUUCAGCAAAAAGCCUCCCCGGCCCCUUCGGAGAUCUCGUGAAGCAGCAGAAAGAGUUUCUCUCUCCUCGCCGUUGCUCUCAGGCCGGGACUGGGCGCCGUCAAAUCAAAUUAACCAUCUCGGGGAGGCACGGCCACGGCCUCUCGUGUCAGCUUAAAGCCGUGGAUGGGUCCAGAGUCCUCCUGACUCGCCGUCCGGGCACGGGCUUCGUUGCCUGGAUCCAUCUGCUGCCGAAGCCCAGCGGUCCCCAGAGGAGCCAAGCGUGCUCCUGAGCCCCGAAACAGGGAUGCUCGCUCAUGCGUUGGCGAAAGGUCUCUAACAGUCAGCCAGGGGACUUGUAAAAAUGCUACCACGGGGCCUCCUGUUUAUUCUUGCGCUCCCUGCGCUCUGCUCACACAUUAAAAGGUGGUACUUUUUUAGCUCCCAGUGCCGCUGCCUGGCGAAUCCAGCUGGUUUUCCUUCCCCCUCUGAAAUCACGACGUCUGCAGCCAGAUGUGCCCUCACCCCACUGGCGUGGGGGGAAUCCGGGGUGGUUGGGGAAAUAAAACCGCGCGGCACCGGCAGCGGGUCGGUUACUGAUGAGCCGUCCAAGGCGCAGCGGAGAAUCUGCAUAAAAUAUUCCUCGUGGAGCUCGGGUAGCUGGUUCCAGCCCAGAUAACAGGCUGACAGGCGCCGAGGAAGGAUGCCUUUAACCUUCACAAAAGUGAGAGGACAGGAGAGAAAUGAGCCAGGCAGCGGUGUCACGAAAAUCACAGCCUCAGCGAUUUGGAUGCGUUUCGCUCUGCUGCAGAGUUUUGUGCGGCGGAGGGAAAAUAAACAAAAUGUUGGGAGGAAGCUGGCGGGCCAGGGGCAUGGUUCUGCCGGGGCUGUAAACGUCCCUGGCCCCCGUUGUGGAGAGCUUUGCUCCUGGUGGGCUUGGAGAGCUGUAGAUGGCAUUGCUGUGGGAUGCCCCAUGGUGCACAGAUGGGAUUAGCAGGAGACCAUGCAGCAGAGGUUGAGCACCUUCUUCAGGUGCCGCUGCUCACUGGUGUGAGAUUUAAAUUUGUGAGGACAACCAUUUCUAUCAUGAAAAGCAUCUCUGGAGGCACAGGGGGGUCCAUGCAUUGGGUAGUGUGCUUAUGGUUCAACUUGUGGCUGGUGACACCUGCCCAGCCUGCUCCGGAUAUGUCCCCAUGGGAAGAAGAGGUGACAAUUCACCUGGUGCAAAGAGGCUGGAAGGGACUGGGAGCACAGUGGCACAUCUCAGCCCGUCCUCUGCCCCACGAGCUGCUGUGCAGCUCCCCAGCCUGAACGCUGAAUGAUUUGGAGAAAUAAAGCAAUAUUUUCAGCUCCGGUUUUCAGUGGGGCUUUUCCUGCAGAGCCUGGAGGGACGGCAUCUGGAUGUCCCUGGCCAAGGGGCUCCCCACCAGCACCAGGCAGCACUUCAGGGACAUCUUGUGACACUCGGCGAGACCAAAAAAAAAGGAGAGGAGGGGAUCGGCUCUUCAUCUGGGAUGGAAAUCGAGCUGGUGAAAGGACGGAUGUUUUCUCUUUUGCCUUGAGGUUAGAAAACAGCAGGAAAUCCUUGCUUGAAGAAAAGGCACACGGCCACCAGUGUGACUCGUGCAGUCUCUGCCUCCUUGAAGUCAGCCUGGAAACAGAGUUUUGUGGUGGGUAGAAUUUCACAGACUUUCCAUGGUUGCUGGCUGCAGCCUUUCUUGUGCCUUGUUUGCAGCUAGCGCUGCAUUUUUGCCAUAUUUCUGCUAGCCUGGGGGGCUGCAUUCCUGCAAUGGGUAUCACGUAGCCGGGUGAAGCAAACACUGCCUUGUCUCAUGGAUGCAGCUUUCCAUGGGACGAGACUGCCUGUGCGGGUGGCUUGGGGAACGUACCCACAUGGGGAAGGCUUGGCUUCGGCCUCAGCUUUUGUCCCAGCACCCGACCCCACAAUGUCUUUGCAAAGCGAGCGCACCCCGCGCCAAGGACCCCGCAGAACUAACUUUGCUUUUCUUGUUUAUUAAUAAGCAUCUUUGUCGAGUAACCAAGAUGUAUUGAGCUGGGACUCCCCGAGUGCGAGCAGCCAGAGAUAGCUUUGACUUUUCCUUUUUUUAAUUUACCUUCUGGGGCUGUGGGAAAUGAGCAAUCCUUCUGGCUGUCAAUAUUGCCAGCGGCGCCGCUGCGCCAGGACCGGCGUCAGCCUCACGCCGACCCGGAGCUGGCACCGCCGGCGCGAUGGGGACGGAGCCGGCGGGGCUCUUGCACCUCCCAGAAAAGGGCUUUUGCAUCAGCUCUCCCCCCUUCCCACCUUGCCCAUGCAGAUGUUUUCUUCUAUUUCUUCUGCCCCAGCCCUUCUCUCUCCUUCCCCUUCCUUUGAUGUGGGCUCAGCUACUUUGCAGGGUCUUCUUUGCAUCUUGCAAAGGAAACCCCUGCUUUUGCAGCAAAGCAACACCCACAAAAUGCUCCCGGGGCUGGGGGGCACCUGCUCUGCCCACCUCCUCUCCCACCACCCAUCAUUUUCCCUCUCAAAAACAGCCAGGGCUCUCAUGGUGGUUUUUGGGGUCACCUCACCCCAAUCAGAGGUGUUUUCUCCUAUGCUUUCAGGGCAGGGGAGAAGCAACCUGGGCUUCCAGGUGACCAGGGAGGGUAGGGCAUCAUCUGCACCCUAAUUAAGUGCUAAUGAAGUGAUGUGGUGCAGCUGAGUGCAGUGUGGCUGGGAGCAAGGAGACGCAGAGGAGAUAAAAGUGGCUGGAGGGGAGCUUCUGGAGUCCUUUUGGGGGCAGAGGUAGCGACCUGAGGACAGCAGAGCCAUGGGGACGCCUCUCCUGCUUGUGGUCCCAAACUCCGUGUUUAUAGGUCACAGUGGGAUCCGGAGGCGGAACGGAGACUUGAGAGUCACGGGCGCCCGGCUGCUGCCUGCCUGCUCGCUGUUUGCUGCCCUCAGCCUCCAAAGGCGCCUCCUGGAGCAAGGACUUUGCUCGUUGCAUCUCUGUUGAGGUCGUGGGCUUGUCACACGUGAGGGCAGCCACCAGUGUGCCGUGGCCUCUAAGGAGAGCGUGGUUUGUCCAUGGGGUGGCUGUAGCACCCCGGUAUCACCAGGGGUCCGGGACCAAGCCCCAGGCAAGGUGCUGGGGUGGAGAGGGCUGCAGGGUGCCCUGGGGGUGGCAUCUCUGUCCUGUGGGGGUUUUGGAGAUGUGGCCUCGUGUGUGCAGGGGGUGGCCUGAGUGCCCUCUGGAUCUGGGCACGGUGAGCGUGUGUGGAAACACCAACAUGUGUGCGUGCACCAGGCGUGAGCCCCUGUGUAUCGGCACGUCUCGUGCGCAUGUACACGGCCGGGGUGCGAGGCUGUGCCUCCAAAUAACCCUGCCUGUAUGAGGGGUGGUGGGGAAGGGAGGAGCGGAGGAGGGCUGGGAGCAGGUGAAGGAACGGGAGGACAGAGGGAGGGGGAGCGAGGGAGGAAGGAUGGGAGAGAAGUAAACAGGGCUGAAAUUGCAGGUAAAAAUAAAGCCGAAGAAGCCCAGGUGGAAUUCAUGCAAAGUCUCCUCAUCAACACUGCGACUCCCUCCUGUCACGGGAACUGUCAUCCGGGCUCGGCUCGUAAUGAAAGGGAAAAUAUUUUAUUCAGAUUUAUUAAUUUGAAAAUGAAGCCCGCCUGUCGAGAGGGGGACAGUUCUUCUCAAUCUGUCAUCGUUGAACCACACGCUCCUGACACCGGGAUUCAUUUGUCUUGUCGGCUCUGACAGUCGGAUUCUCCCAGAGCUGUUCCUGGUGGAUCGCCCUGGGAUUUUAAACCGGAUGAAACACAUUCCGACAAGGAACAGCCUCUUUAUUAAUGCAAAUUACACGAGGAGGCGAGAGCGCGAGGGAGGGGGAGAGGGAGGGAGGGUGACGCCAGCAGCCGCGCUGGUUCCUCUCCCCGUAUCGCUCGUUUGUUAUUUACAUUUAUACGCCUGUUUUCGGGUUUAAUAAAAGGAGACCGGGCUUUUCGGUGACGUUUAUGGAUGGAUGGUUUAAAAAAAAAAAAGGCACAAUCACCACAAGUGUAUGCAAAAAUACAUACCCAUAAAUAUAUAUAUAUAGUAUGUGAGCCAGCCCAGCUUGUGCUUGUGCGCAGGGAAAGGAUGCUUGGCCCAAGACGAGGAGGUGCCUUCAGUGGCUGGUGCCGUCCCCCCGAGGUCCCCUUAGCUCGUCAGCAUGGCAUAAAACAAAUGCCAGAGUCGGGAGUGUGGGGAGCCGGGAUGUAUGUGUCUAAUGAUGUCUCUGCAGUCUAUAGGAUGAAUAUUUAAUAGCGCUUGUCAGCAAGAUCUUAUAGAGGGAUUUCUUGCCUAAAAUGCUCGUUAGCUCGUGUGAUUUCCUCGGCGUUGGUGUUUAUGGUGGCAUCUGGCUGGUUUGUUGCCGUCCCCUGUGUUUGUCUCCCUAGGGUCCUUGUCCCCAGCCCCUAGGGCACGGACAUCCCUGCCUUAGGGUCACCUUAUGGGUCCUGCGGCACAGCGGGGGGCUCAGACCCUAGCCCCCAAUUCCCACACCCUGCAAAACCUCUUCUGGAGAGACGUUCAGGCUUAGGUUGGAGGCUGCAAGUGAUGGAGAAUCUACCACGUCGUUAGGCAAAUUGUUCUGCUGGUUAAUUAGCUUUGCUGUUAAUAUGCUUGGAGCGAUGAGAGCAGUAAUUCACCUUAGGAAAAGGGAUGUGCGGGGAGGGCUUGGAGAGGUGUGAAGGAACGGGAUGGAAAGUCAGAGAAGGGACUCAGAACAGAUAUUUCUCUGUGAAUCUGUGAUUUGUGAGAGAAGGAGAAAAGAGGAGAACAUUUGGGAAGGACCAAUGUUAUUUUUGAAUUUGGGUUGAGUUUUUGCAAAUACUAUUUUUAUGAUGGAAAGCUAAAGGGUGGAAAUGCCAAAAUGUAUUCUGGUGACAUCUCCAAAACGUACCCUUCAACUUUUCAUCCCCAAAUGGCAAUUUUUUACAUUUAAAAGAAAAAUCUGGAUUGAAUGGAGGGUUUGACCCAGAUUUAUCUUUCUCACCUGGAAUAAAGAACCAGACCUGUGUGUAGUUUGCUCUGAAGGUGCGUGUGUCUCAUCUUUGUUCCACCGAGACCCAGCAUCAGACAGGUGGAGGAGACCAACCUGCCUGCUGGCCAGGCAAGGGGAGGAGACCUGCACCCACCUCGGGGUCUCCUGCUGGUUUUAAAUGGGUGCUAUCAGCUUCAACCUUCCCCAAAGGUUUUCUUAGAGCUGGAUGGCUCUUUUCAGCUUGCCUGCCCCUUGCUUGGGGUCAGGCAGGUGCCCAGCUGAAGAGGAACCCGUAGCAAAGAUGGCAUUAGCUCUUCCAAGCUAAUUUGCUCCUUUUCCAGAUGGGCCCAUACAGCCUAUGAGAGCAGUCCUGGUGUUAACCCUCCAUGUGUGGGUGGCUGUGCAAAGUGAGACCUUGCUAUCAUGGGGGCUCCUCGGGGCCGCCCCUUGGCCAUGCUUGCCAUGACCCCAAGGUCCAGAAACCACCAGGAUGCGCUUGGCGAGGUGCCCCCAGGGCUGCUGGCUUGCAAGGCUGGAGAAAGUCACGGAGGGGCGGUGUUUCUGCCACCAGUAGAGGUGAUGGGGACGUGGUCCUGAGCAUGGGACCGAUGGACAGUCCUGGGAGCACCUUGAGGAGCCACCUGGAGCCACCUCUGGACACUGAUUUCAAGGAGCUUCCCACCUGGUCUGCGGGGACCGUCUGCAAAAUCCCUUCUGUCCUUGAAUUCCUAUUUCCUUGCAGAGCCUGUGGCUAGGGCUCAGCCCUGGCGUAAUAGGCAUCUGCUUGCUGUAAUCUCACUGCCCCUCCCCAAACCUACUUAUAAAAUAAUGCACCUUGCGCCAAUUUUAUCUGUGACAUUGCAUUAAAAAAAAAAAAUCCAUUAAAAGAAAUAAAAGCAGGUGCAGCUCGGUGCUGCAAACACUCCUUCACUCUCAUUCUCUCCCCUUCGUUCCUGCUCUCCUUCACUCCCGGUGUUUGCUAGUUUGUAUGAUUAAUUUUAUCAAUUUUCCUGACCUGCUUUGCCACUGAAAUAAAUAUGACAGCUGCAGUGCUGCCUCAAUUCGUUCUCUUGCCAAGUGAGCUGCUGAGAUGUGUUUUCUUGUUGAUCGCAGACUUUGGUAAAUAUCAAGUAAAUAGACUGAAGAGGAUUCAUUUCAGCAGCUCGGAUUGUCAGGACUUCAGCCCGAGAGCACAUCCUUCAACGGGGAGACAAAGGGAGGAGGAAGGCUCCCGUCCCUCCCCAAAAAAGCAAUCAGGAAAUUCUCAGCGUGUCGGGCUGGUCCGUAAUGAGCAGUGACAGCAGGCGGCUGGGUGGAGACCCCAAAAGUCAUGGGGGGAUGAAGCGAGCCCCGUGGAGCCGUGGUGUGCGUGGGUCAGGGUGGCAGCAGAGCUCGGGGUGCGGUGUGUUGACCUCCUGGUGCUAGACAGCCAGCCCCUAGGGACACCCCUGCGGCAGAGCUGCCUGCAAACCUCUUGCUAGGGAGCUGGUGCCCAAAUGCCUGAAUUUUCAGCUCUGUGUCUUGAUGAAAUUCAGCCGAGAGCGAGCUGAAGGCCUCCCACCCUGCACGGUGUCUCUCCAGGAGAUGAUCUGCUCCGGGGAGGCUGCUGGAGCACAGCUCUGGGAAUUUAACGUGCUAGGAGGGAAAUUCCUGUGUUAGCAUCUCUCCCAUCCAGCCUAUUUGGGUCUUGGCUGCGGUGGCAGAGGUGAAAAGAGGAAUGGGCUGAAAUAUCAUUGCUCGGUGUUGGUCUUUUUGGCUUCUCUAACAGCAGCAUCUCAGUGGUGGUUCUUGUCCAGGGUCCCCUGCUGGGUGCCUUUGGGCACCUCUCAGGCAUGUUUGGGCAUCCCCCUGCUUUCCCCAAAGGAGACAGGAGCUGGCAUCCAGCAGCUGCACCUCCGUUACGCUGUGGCUGUGAUUUUUUUGGGUAAGGGUCCCCUGGGAGUUUUGUGGUCUAAUUGCUGAUAAAUAUUUGCUGGUGCUCCUGCUCCCCCUAAGUGGCCAGCGGCAAUUACCGGGUGCGCAGCCCCACGGCUGAGCCCUCCUCUCGCCGCAGAUCGCAGCCGAGCUGUCUGUGCUCAGGCCUUCAGCUGGCACGUACAGGCAGGUGGAGAGAGGAAAAAAUAGAAGCUUCCAGCCUCUGAAAGCAAGCGGAGGAUUUGUAAACGUGACCCAGAUAAACACGACGCGGGAUGUCUUCCUUGAGUCAGCAGAGAGCCUAAAAUAGUGCCUGGUGCGACCUCCUCCGUCCCGCUGCAUCUGGAGUCUGAACAUGCCACCCGCAGAGGUUGGGUGGCUGCUUGGUAGAGCUGCCCAGUGGAUGGGAACAAGGCGACGUGGUAUUUCCAACAAAUGCUUGGUUCCUCGGUGUGCCUCGAGAUGGUCAGCAGCCUGGCCGUGUUGACUGUUUUUCUAUUUUUUUAACCGAUGAAGCUCACCUUGGUCCAGCAAGGAGCGCACGCAGCAGCCGCCUGUCAUCAAUUCAGAUACCUCCCUCCCCUCAUUUCAAGGACUUGUGAGAGCAAGAGGCUUGUGGCUACGGAGAUUUACACACCCUCGGCAAGGGUUAACCUCAUCUCGCCGCCACUAUUGUCUCAGGACAAGUUGUCAGUCUGUGAGAACGUGCCGUAAUGGAUUUGAAGUGGAUUGCUCAGCCCACGGAGAGGGUGAUGCUGUAUUUAUUGAAUAGACAUUAAAAAGAACAUUUCUCAAUUUCUCAGCACUGAACUCGAGGUCAAUGGAUCUUUUUGGCACUGACAUGCUGAGUCAACUCCUAGCUUAAAGCUUUUAGAAGGACUGGGGUUAGAUGAAAGGAUUAGACGCCGUCUUUAACGUUUCCCUGGCAAAAUUGUUGGCUCCUAAAUCAUUUAUGUUGCUUUGCACUGCUUUGCUUGGCCUCUCCCUUGUUACCUUGGGGGAAGUUACCUUUUUUUUUUUUUUUUUGGAUUAAAAUGACACAAGUUGAUUAUUUCCAUCGUGCUGCCCCAAGUUGAGGUGGGUCCAAAAGCGUGUUGGGCACCUAAUGCCUCUGGAGCACCGAAAACCCCAUGUCUUGGGGGAUUUGGCCCUGCAGGGAAAGGUGGUGCCACGGCUCCCAGCAGAUCCCGAGGGGUAGGAGGCUCGCUGCAGGCUGGCGAGCUCCUUGUGCUUUUUAAUAAUGACUGAGCCAUUGAUUACAGCAGCCCUGGUGGGGUUGUGGUCAGCCAGGAGCUGGUGUCCUGGGGAGCAGCGGCAUGGAUCCAUCCCUGGCUAUUGCUCAGGGCAUCGUUGGGAUUUGUGCCACCGCUCUGAAUGGUGCUGGCCUCCUCGGUGUCACGCUCGUUGCCACCAUUCCCUGCGGUUCCUGGCAAUUUUGUUAAGGUACAUUAGUGUCACGCUGAGAGCGGAGCUGUAGCAUGCUGGACAAGGCUUGGAUGAGCCUGAGGAAAGGCAUUUUGGGGACCACGAGGAGUGGUGAGCGGUGAGAAAAUGCUGCCGUGCUCACGCUGCACGUCCCUGGGGAACUGCAACAUCUCUCCUCCCCGUCCUCAGCCCCUUCUCGCAGCCAGCACCUACCUGCAAAGGGCCCGCGGUGCCAGGGCUUCUGGUAGCGGUGCAACAAAUAAAAUGCAAUCCGCCUGUAUCAUAAAGUCCAAUAAAAAUGAAACUGAACAUCCACUUUGCAGACAGCAAGUACACUGUAAAUUUAUGAGAUCAUAUCUCGUGGAGGACAGGGUAGUUAAGGGGGGAAGGAAGGGGCUGGCAAAAAUGGGCGAGAGCGGCCGAGGGGUAGUAAAUAUGUUUUCAAUAAUGAAGAGGCCCGAUUACCCUCUUUGCAAUAAAAGCGUGCACGAGGCAGAGCUGCUGUAAAAAUUACUCCUGAGCAGCCUGGCGUAUUUGCACCUUGUCAUCUUGUCAGCUCCAUGCAAAUUGGCAGGGUGGCCGAGGACCGGGUGACCGUCCUCCCUCCCGCAAGAGCCAUCUCAUUUCCAACCCCCGCCACCCCAGUCCCCUCCCACUCCACAAAACGCCCCGAUUUUGCCCGUAACCGUGGCAACCAGCGAGGA
Cygnus olor (mute swan) is the source of this 16438-nucleotide long non-coding RNA. RefSeq lists it as uncharacterized. The transcript is spliced from 9 exons. Lineage: Eukaryota; Metazoa; Chordata; Aves; Anseriformes; Anatidae. The record is from RefSeq and is a predicted model, not a curated record.